GAUCCGUCCGCCUCGGCCUCCCAAAGUGCUGGGAUUACAGGCGUAAGCCACCGCUCCCGGUCAAAAAUUCUCCUUUAUUCUUUGAGAGGGACAUAACACUAAUAAUCCAGAACCUAGUGUAUAUCCGUUAGUUUGCUUCACCUCAUCUUCUUAAAAGUCCUGUAUUAAAAACCAAAACCUCUAGCUUUUAUAUCUGUAUUGGUAGAGGACAGAUUUGGGGUGAAGAUUCUGGUAUCCAAAAUUACGUGAGCAAUUUAACAAAAAGACAACAAAAACAAUAAGCAAUUUAAUUUCAAUCUCAGUAGAAUUCAGAGAAAGGCAAUUAACAAAUGUCAGUUUUCUUUUUUUGGGGGGGUGGGGGGGGACAGGGUUUCACUUGUUGCCCAGGCUGGAGUGCAGUGGCGUGAUCUUGGCUUACUACAGCCUCAAACUCCUGGACUCAAGCAAUGCUCCCAGUUCAGCCUCCUGGGUAGCUGGGACUACAGGUGUGCACCAUCACUCUGAGAGGAGUUAGCUAGCUUUCCUUAGGUAGACAGCAAGGGAAGGGUCCCCAAAGAGCCCCCAACCCACGGGUCAGUGCCUCAUCCCCACAGAACAGAGAAAGCAGCCUGGGGAUAAAAAUCAAGCUGCAGGCACCGAUAAGGGAAGUAGCACAGGGUGGUGGUGUGCCUGGAGACAAGCCCGCGGCUGCACAGAUCCGAGAACCUCCAGCCCACUUAGAUAAAAACUUGCACAAACCUCCAGCUCACUCAGAUAAGGGAACAAGACCUGACAUAGAAAUGUCUUUGUCUUUUGUAUAAUCAGCAGGUUCCCGGGAAAAAGUUUCUUCUCCUUUCGUGGGCAUUAAUACUGUGGGCUCCGACGACUCCGAUGGGCACUUUCCUUUCCUCUUUCGACUGUGAGCCCGGCCUCUAAGAAUUACUUCAGCACGAUUGGUCCCCGGGCCAAGCUUUCACUUCAGCUCCUGAUAGGUCCCGGGCCAAGCUGAGUGGUCUCAAUGAAUCAUCAAUUCAGCUCCUGAUUGGUCCCGGGCCAAGCUGAAUCUAGCUUUCUCCAAGACAGCUCACAGACUAAGCAAAUUCCUUCCCCUUCCCAGUCCGCAAAAACCCCCGACCCCAACCUCAUAGUGGGCAACCCGUUCAGGCCCCCACUCUCCGCUGCGGAGAGCUUUUUUUUUUUUUUUUGAGACGGAAUUUUGCUCUUGUUGCCCAGGCUGAAGUGCAACGGCGCGAUCCUCAACUCACCGCAACGUCUGCCUCCCGGCUUCAAGCGAUUCUCCUGCCUCAGCCUCCCAAGUAGCUGGGACUACAGGCGUGUGCCACCACGCCCAGUUAAUUUUGUAUUUUUAGUAAAGACAGGGUUUCUCCAUGUUGGUCAGGCUGGUCUUGAACUCCGGACCUCGGCCUCCCAAAGUGCUGGGAUUACAGGUGUGAGCCACCGAAUCCAGCCGAGAGCUUUCUUGUUUUGCUUACUAAACUUUUGCUCCAACCUCACCCUUGUGUUCGUGCUCUGUGACACAAAGAACUCCGGAUACUAUCUCAGACAACCAAAGACUGCUACAUUUUGGCGCACUGGUGAGACUACAACACCUUGCUAAUUUUUGUAUUUUUGUAGAAACAGGUUUUCACCGUGUUGCCCAGGCUGGUCUUGAACUCCUGACCUCAAGCAAUCUGCCUUGGCCUCCCAAAGUGCUGGGAUUACAGGUGUGAGCCACCACAUCCAGCAGAAGGUCAUUCUUCACCUAUCAAAAUGGCAAAGAUAUUUUAAAAAGAAAAGAUAAAAAUUGGCAAAGUUCAGGGAAAUUGCUGAUGUGUAAGUGAUUGUGUGAAACUGUUCUGAAGGGUUACAUGAAAUACAUAUUCAAAGCCUUCAACGUGUGCCUACUAUUUGACCUAAAUAUCUCAUUUAAUAUUUUUCCAAAGAAAAUAAUUUAAGGGUCAAAUGUUUUAGAGUAUUUAGGAUAUUUACUGCAACAUUGUUUAUAAUAGCAAAAAAGAAAUACUAGAAAAAGCUUCACUGUACAGCAACAAAUGGUUAAAUAUAUAAUGUAUAAUCUAUACAAUAGCAUGCAGUAGGUCUCUUAACUCCACUUAACACACACACAAAAAUACUUUCCACCUAAUUCUGAGGCAGAGCCAAGUUUGUGAACACUAAUGUAGAACCCACAAUAAAUAUUGCUUCCUUCUUGGGAGGACUUUUUUCAGAGAUUAUUUUUUCUUCUAAGUUACCUUCCUGUCAAAAAAGGAACGGUCUUGGCUACAGAUUUUUUUUUUUUUUUUUUUUUG
This 2285-nucleotide long non-coding RNA is filed under the name Homo sapiens (human). RNAcentral's name for it is "HSALNT0280909". The record is from RNAcentral. Lineage: Eukaryota; Metazoa; Chordata; Mammalia; Primates; Hominidae.